UACGAAGGGGGCUAGCGUUUGUUCGGAAUCACUGGGCGUAAAGCGCACGUUAGGCGGUUCGUUAAGUCGGAUGUGAAAGCCCCUCGGCUCAACUGAGGAAGUGCACCCGAAACUGGCGAGCUUGAGUACGAAAGAGGAUCGCGGAAUUCCCGGUGUAGAGGUGAAAUUCGUAGAUAGUCGGGAGGAACACCGGGUGGCGAAGGCGGCGAUCUGGGUCGAUACUGACGCUGAGGUGGCGAAAA
RNAcentral lists this ribosomal RNA (242 nucleotides) under uncultured bacterium. RNAcentral's name for it is "partial 16S ribosomal RNA". It matches the Rfam family "Bacterial small subunit ribosomal RNA", at positions 524 to 759 of the family's 1533-position model. The record is from RNAcentral.